This 34-nucleotide small RNA is filed under the name Drosophila melanogaster (fruit fly). RNAcentral describes it as "small non-coding RNA 359 (Dmel_CR33712)". Lineage: Eukaryota; Metazoa; Arthropoda; Insecta; Diptera; Drosophilidae. The record is from RNAcentral.
ACGAAAAUAGCACCCGGCGGCAGUGGCUUCAGAU